UAGGGAAUAUUGCACAAUGGGCGAAAGCCUGAUGCAGCAACGCCGCGUGCGCGAUGACGGCCUUCGGGUUGUAAAGCGCUUUUCGGGGAGAUGAGGAAGGACAGUAUCCCCGGAAUAGGGCUCGGCUAACUACGUGCCAGCAGCCGCGGUAACACGUAGGAGCCAAGCGUUAUCCGAAUUCACUGGGCGUAAAGCGCGUGUAGGCGGCUUGGUAAGUUGGAUGUGAAAGCUCCUGGCUCAACUGGGAGAGGACGUUCAAUACUGCCGAGCUAGAGGGCGACAGGUGGAGGUGAAAGUCCCGGUGUAGUGGUGAGAUGCGUAGAUAUCGGGAGGAACACCAGUGGCGAAAGCGGCCUCCUGGGUCGGACCUGACGCUCAGACGCGAAAGCUAGGGGAG
Molecule: ribosomal RNA, 397 nt
Filed under: uncultured bacterium
Lineage: Bacteria
Description: bacterial SSU rRNA
Rfam family: Bacterial small subunit ribosomal RNA
Source: RNAcentral